CAUUUUUGGAGAAUUUUUAUUUUUGGAAAGAAAAAUUGGGAAUGGAAUUGGCAGUUUUGGAGAGGAAGAUUGUUGGUCUGGAUCUCGCAGGAUCGGGCGCUCCCUCAGCUAUACCAGGAUUGCGAAUGAAGUUAGCUCAUGUCACUCCUUCCUUGAGCUCUGAGCAUGUGCGUAGGAGAGAUUCUUUAGAUGCUGUUAGUGUACAGGACUCCCCCUCAAAUGGUCGCUCAGUUCAUAGCCGACAUGAUGAUCCCUGUUGAUUUGCUCCAGACUUUAUAGCUCAUUUACAUUUAUCUUUUUAUAUACUUUCAUAUUAUAUAUAUUCAUGCACG
This is a long non-coding RNA of Cryptomeria japonica (Japanese cedar), 332 nucleotides long. RefSeq lists it as uncharacterized. The transcript has 3 exons. The record is from RefSeq and is a predicted model, not a curated record. Lineage: Eukaryota; Viridiplantae; Streptophyta; Pinopsida; Cupressales; Cupressaceae.